UUGCAAACACUUGGAGGGAUAGGACCAGAAAGUGAAUUGGUGGACACGUCAAGUUUCUGGAGCAAACCAUUUGAGCCAAGCAUAGGUGGGAGAAUCCCAGUAAGAGAAUUGUUAAAUAGCUGCAGAGUAUUGAGGGAUGGACCCAGUGAGCUCAUUAUCUGACAAAUCAAGAGCCGUGAGUGCUUUCAAAUUGCCUAAAGUUGACGGGACUUCACCAGUGAACCGAUUCUUGAACAGCAACAAUGUUUCCAGCAUGGUCAAGUUUCCUAGUUCUGGGAUCACAGAGCCAGAAAGAUUAGCAAAAGAGAUAUCUAAGUAUUUUAGACUAGACAAAGAGGUGAAUUCCACUGGUAUUCCUCCCGAAAACUGGUUGUAUCCAAUUUCCAAGCGUUCAAGCUGUGAUAAGAAGCCUAACUGAGGUGGUAUUAGACCUUCCAACAUAUUUCCAGCCAAAUGAAGAACCCUCAAUCUAGGGAAACUGCCGUAAGUUGAAGGAAUCCUAUCGCUGAAGUAGCUGCCGCCAAGGUUGAGCUGCUCAAGAAACCUGAGUCUGAUGAAUUCUUGAGGUAAAGGGCCAAUGAAGUUGUUGCUGUAAGCAUUGAAGAUUCUCAAGAACUUGAGCUUCGAAAUCCCAGGUGGGAAAGUUGAGUUGAAGGAGUUGUGGCUGAUAUCUAGAACCCUGAGCUCUGUGAGUUCAAAAACUGCUGCUUGGAAACUUCCACUGAAGUCAUUUCCACUUAGAUUCAAGUGGUUUAAGGUAGUCAAAUGCCUUAUUUCCGGUGAAAUUGUCCCUGAAAGGUUGCGAUGAGAGAGGUCAAUGGAGGUGAUUUUCGCAUUUUUUGAAUGGCAUGUGAUGCCUGACCAUGAACACCAAACUGGAUCCUGGAAAUUGGAAUUUGAGAAGGUAGAAGAAGCGUCCCAGUCAUGGAGUGUAUUUAGAGGGUCUUUGAUGGAAGAUUUGAGUGAAAGUAGAGAGAUGAGCUGGAGUGGUGGAGUUGAAGAAGCAGAGAAGACUAGGUAUAUUUGGCAGAAGAAGGAGAAUGUGAGAAAGAGAAGAAAAGAUUUCAUGGUUUUUGGGCUGUGGUGAGUGAGAGUAGUGUGGUGUCUAGGGAGGUAAAUUUAAGGGAAUGAAGGUUUGGAUGAGGAAGAGGAUUGCUUUUUUGGAGUGCUGGGUGGAGAGGGAGUUUCAUGAUGAUGAUUUUCUUCAGUGGGUUUUGUUGGUGGACAUGAAAGAGAGAUGGAGAGAGAGAAUGAACUUCUUCUACUCCAUCUUCUCUAUCCCUCUCUACUCAAUACUACUCUCCACUACAAGUAGUCUUCUUUAUUUGCGGUGCAGCCUAAGUUCUCACUUUCACUCUCCUAGAUUUCUCUCUUUUCUUUCUUUAUUUUGCCUCAGUAUUAUACCUUUGUCUGUACACAACACUACUGUUUAUUUUCUUGGAAUUCUUUUCCACCUUUUCUUUUUUGCUCCCACUUUUCAUCAUUCCCUUGCUUCCUUUUCCUUUGGCUAACAAAUUGGUAAAUAUGCCAAACAGUGAUCAUUGUCUCUCGCAGGAUCCAAGAAAGACAUAUCAAAUUCCCACCAUAUUCCCUUCCCCCCAUACUACUAUUUUAAAAUAACCCCAGUUUUCUUUUGCUUUCGUUAUCUAUUUCUUGUUUGGCCAAAUUAAAAAUCCUCUGUAUUUUUCGUUUCCAGAUAGGCUUUAGUUUGGAAGUCGUUCUUGUAUUGUAGUAUCUGAUCACGUAUGUUUAUCCACUGGUAUUUACUUUUAUUUACUCCCAUUUCUUGUGUAGACUUCAAUUUCCAUGAACUUGAGAAGCAUUGAUAAAAUAAAUCAAAAUUUGCACGACAAAUAUAUAGCAUUUCAUCAUAA
Long non-coding RNA from Prosopis cineraria, 1874 nucleotides. RefSeq lists it as uncharacterized. The transcript has 2 exons. NCBI's taxonomy places the organism in Eukaryota, Viridiplantae, Streptophyta, Magnoliopsida, Fabales, Fabaceae. The record is from RefSeq and is a predicted model, not a curated record.